RNAcentral lists this transfer RNA (72 nucleotides) under Heterocephalus glaber (naked mole-rat). It matches the Rfam family "tRNA". Rfam says of the family: Transfer RNA (tRNA) molecules are approximately 80 nucleotides in length. Lineage: Eukaryota; Metazoa; Chordata; Mammalia; Rodentia; Bathyergidae. The record is from Rfam by way of RNAcentral.
GGGAGUGUAGCUCAGUGGUAGAGCACUUGUGUAGCAUUCGUGAGGUCCUGGGUUCAAUCCCUAGUGCUUAUA